GGCGAAGUAGCUCAGUUGGCGAGAGCAUGCGGUUCAUACCCGCAGUGUCGGCGGUUCGAAUCCGUCCUUCGCUA
Molecule: transfer RNA, 74 nt
Filed under: Clostridiales bacterium
Lineage: Bacteria; Bacillati; Bacillota; Clostridia; Eubacteriales
Description: tRNA-Met
Rfam family: tRNA
About the family: Transfer RNA (tRNA) molecules are approximately 80 nucleotides in length. Their secondary structure includes four short double-helical elements and three loops (D, anti-codon, and T loops). Further hydrogen bonds mediate the characteristic L-shaped molecular structure. tRNAs have two regions of fundamental functional importance: the anti-codon, which is responsible for specific mRNA codon recognition, and the 3' end, to which the tRNAs corresponding amino acid is attached (by aminoacyl-tRNA synthetases). tRNAs cope with the degeneracy of the genetic code in two manners: having more than one tRNA (with a specific anti-codon) for a particular amino acid; and 'wobble' base-pairing, i.e. permitting non-standard base-pairing at the 3rd anti-codon position.
Source: RNAcentral